AAAUACCUUUCAAGAUGGAGAUGUGUUAAGAUUGACCAAUCCCAUCUUGGAAGUGAAGUGAUGAAACAUAGGGGAAGCUAAUGGCUUAGUAAACAAAUCAACAAGCUGGAAUUUGGCAGAAAUAUGACUAGUAUGAAUGAAUCUAGCUUGGAGUUGAUUGCGUACAAAAUUGCAAUCAAUGUCAAGAUGCUUGGUUAUUUCAUGGAAGACGGGAUUUUCUGAUAUGUGAACCGCAGCGUUGUUGUUACAUUGUAAGGGAAUUGGAAGAUGGAGCUGAAUUUGAAAAUCUUUUAUCAGAUAGGAAAUCCAUUGCAGCUCACAAAUAGUGGACGCCAUACUUCGAUACUGUGCCUCAGUUGAAGAUCGACUAAUGGUAUUUUGUUUUUUAGAUUUCCAGGAAAUAAGAGAGGGAACAAGGAACACACCGUAGCCUGUAAGAGACUUCCUGGAAAUUGGACAUGAGGCCCAAUCAGCGUCACAAAAAGCUUUCAGUUGGUAAUUUUUUGUUGAAGGGAAAAACAAUCCCUUUG
This 530-nucleotide unclassified non-coding RNA is filed under the name Hevea brasiliensis (rubber tree). The record is from RNAcentral. Lineage: Eukaryota; Viridiplantae; Streptophyta; Magnoliopsida; Malpighiales; Euphorbiaceae.